Molecule: ribosomal RNA, 442 nt
Filed under: uncultured bacterium
Lineage: Bacteria
Description: SSU rRNA
Rfam family: Bacterial small subunit ribosomal RNA
Source: RNAcentral
AGAGCGAACGCUGGCGGCAGGCCUAACACAUGCAAGUCGAGCGCCCCGCAAGGGGAGCGGCAGACGGGAGAGUAACACGUGGGAACGUACCCUUCAGUUCGGAACAACCCAGGGAAACUUGGGCUAAUACCGAAUACGUCCGUAAGGAGAAAGAUUUAUCGCUGAAGGAUCGGCCCGCGUCUGAUUAGCUUGUUGGUGAGGUAACGGCUCACCAAGGCGACGAUCAGUAGCUGGUCUGAGAGGAUGAUCAGCCUCACUGGGACUGAGACACGGCCCAGACUCCUACGGGAGGCAGCAGUGGGGAAUAUUGGACAAUGGGCGCAAGCCUGAUCCAGCCAUGCCGCGUGGGUGAUGAAGGCCCUAGGGUUGUAAAGCCCUUUCGGCGGGGAAGAUAAUGACGGUACCGCAGAAGACGCCCGGCUAACUUCGUGCCAGCAGCCGC